Small nucleolar RNA from Zalophus californianus (California sea lion), 71 nucleotides. Ensembl annotates it as small nucleolar RNA SNORD49. NCBI's taxonomy places the organism in Eukaryota, Metazoa, Chordata, Mammalia, Carnivora, Otariidae. The record is from Ensembl.
UGUGCUGAUGAUCCUGGGAUUAGGAAGAGCCGUCAGAAGCGAUACCGGACGAUUUCGAUGCGUGUCUGACC